Molecule: ribosomal RNA, 873 nt
Filed under: Agaricus subrutilescens
Lineage: Eukaryota; Fungi; Basidiomycota; Agaricomycetes; Agaricales; Agaricaceae
Description: partial large subunit ribosomal RNA
Rfam family: Eukaryotic large subunit ribosomal RNA
Source: RNAcentral
ACUAACAAGGAUUCCCCUAGUAACUGCGAGUGAAGCGGGAAAAGCUCAAAUUUAAAAUCUGGCGGUCUUUGGCCGUCCGAGUUGUAAUCUAGAGAAGUAAUGCCCGUGCUGGACCGUGUAUAAGUCUCCUGGGAUGGGGCGUCAUAGAGGGUGAGAAUCCCGUCUUUGACACGGACUACCAGUGCAUUGUGGUAUGCUCUCAAAGAGUCGAGUUGUUUGGGAAUGCAGCUCAAAAUGGGUGGUAAAUUCCAUCUAAAGCUAAAUAUUGGCGAGAGACCGAUAGCGAACAAGUACCGUGAGGGAAAGAUGAAAAGAACUUUGGAAAGAGAGUUAAACAGUACGUGAAAUUGCUGAAAGGGAAACGCUUGAAGUCAGUCGCGUUGGCCGGGAAUCAGCCUUGCUUUUGCAUGGUGUACUUUCUGGUCGACGGGUCAGCAUCAAUUUUGAUCACUGGAAAAGGCUCAAGGGAAUGUGGCAGCUUCGGCUGUGUUAUAGCCCCUGUUCACAUACAGUGGUUGGGAUUGAGGAACUCAGCACGCCGCAAGGCCGGGUUUCGACCACGUUCGUGCUUAGGAUGCUGGCAUAAUGGCUUUAAGCGACCCGUCUUGAAACACGGACCAAGGAGUCUAACAUGCCUGCGAGUAUUUGGGUGGAAAACCCAGGUGCGCAAUGAAAGUGAAAGUUGAGAUCCCUGUCGUGGGGAGCAUCGACGCCCGGACCAGAACUUUUGGGACGGAUCCGCGGUGGAGCAUGUAUGUUGGGACCCGAAAGAUGGUGAACUAUGCCUGAAUAGGGUGAAGCCAGAGGAAACUCUGGUGGAGGCUCGUAGCGAUUCUGACGUGCAAAUCGAUCGUCAAAUUUGGGUAUAGGGGC